Podarcis lilfordi (Lilford's wall lizard) is the source of this 74-nucleotide non-coding RNA. The record is from the annotation of a GenBank genome assembly. NCBI's taxonomy places the organism in Eukaryota, Metazoa, Chordata, Lepidosauria, Squamata, Lacertidae.
GUCAAGUCUAGCUCAGUCAGUAAAGCAUAAGACUCUUAAUCUCUGGGUUGUGGGUUCGAAUCCCACAUUGGGCA